GACGAACGCUGGCGGCGUGCUUAACACAUGCAAGUCGAACGGUAAGGCCCUUCGGGGUACACGAGUGGCGAACGGGUGAGUAACACGUGGGUGAUCUGCCCUGCACUUUGGGAUAAGCCUGGGAAACUGGGUCUAUACCGGAUAGGACUCCUGCCUGCAUGGGUGGGGGUGGAAAGCUUUUGCGGUGUGGGAUGGGCCCGCGGCCUAUCAGCUUGUUGGUGGGGUGAUGGCCUACCAAGGCGACGACGGGUAGCCGGCCUGAGAGGGUGACCGGCCACACUGGGACUGAGAUACGGCCCAGACUCCUACGGGAGGCAGCAGUGGGGAAUAUUGCACAAUGGGCGCAAGCCUGAUGCAGCGACGCCGCGUGAGGGAUGACGGCCUUCGGGUUGUAAACCUCUUUCAGCACAGACGAAGCGCAAGUGACGGUAUGUGCAGAAGAAGGACCGGCCAACUACGUGCCAGCAGCCGCGGUAA
RNAcentral lists this ribosomal RNA (477 nucleotides) under uncultured bacterium. RNAcentral describes it as "partial 16S ribosomal RNA". It matches the Rfam family "Bacterial small subunit ribosomal RNA", at positions 28 to 523 of the family's 1533-position model. The record is from RNAcentral.